AACCGGGAAGAGCUCAAAUUUGAAAUCUGGCGUGCUCAGUGCGUCCGAGUUGUAAUCUAUAGAGUCGUUUUCCGUGCCGGACUGUGUCCAAGUCCCUUGGAACAGGGUAUCAAAGAGGGUGAUAAUCCCGUACUUGACACAAUGACCGGUGCUCUGUGAUACGUCUUCUACGAGUCGAGUUGUUUGGGAAUGCAGCUCAAAAUGGGUGGUGAGUUCCAUCUAAAGCUAAAUAUUGGCGAGAGACCGAUAGCGAACAAGUACCGUGAGGGAAAGAUGAAAAGCACUUUGGAAAGAGAGUUAAACAGUACGUGAAAUUGUUAAAAGGGAAACGAUUGAAGUCAGUCGUGACUGAGAGGCUCAGCCGGUUCUGCCGGUGUAUUCCCCUCAGUCGGGUCAACAUCAGUUUUGUUCGGUGGAUAAGGGCGGUUGGAAGGUGGCACCCUCGGGUGUGUUAUAGCCAACUGUCGCAUACAUCGGAUGAGACUGAGGAAUGCAGCUCGCCUUUAUGGCCGGGGUUCGCCCACGUUCGAGCUUAGGAUGUUGACAUAAUGGCUUUAAACGACCCGUCUUGAACCACGGACC
Molecule: ribosomal RNA, 582 nt
Filed under: Papiliotrema flavescens
Lineage: Eukaryota; Fungi; Basidiomycota; Tremellomycetes; Tremellales; Rhynchogastremaceae
Description: eukaryotic LSU rRNA
Rfam family: Eukaryotic large subunit ribosomal RNA
Source: RNAcentral